This 1239-nucleotide ribosomal RNA is filed under the name metagenome. RNAcentral's name for it is "bacterial LSU rRNA". It matches the Rfam family "Bacterial large subunit ribosomal RNA", at positions 1564 to 2811 of the family's 2925-position model. The record is from RNAcentral.
UGAGUACGAGACGCUAAGGCGUCGAAGUAGUGUAUGUCAUACUUCCAAGAAAAGCUUGCACUGUCAUUCAUAAAAAAUGCCUGUACCAUAACCGACACAGGUGGGUAGGUAGAGUAUACUAAGGGGCGCGAGAUAACUCUCUCUAAGGAACUCGGCAAAAUAACUCCGUAACUUCGGGAGAAGGAGUGCCUUAUUUAUAUAAGGUUGCAAUAACAAGAUCCGAGCAACUGUUUACCAAAAACACAGGUCUCCGCUAAGUCGUAAGACGAUGUAUGGGGGCUGACGCCUGCCCAGUGCCAGAAGGUUAAAGAAGUUGGUUAGCAAUAGCGAAGCUGAUAACUGAAGCCCUGGUGAACGGCGGCCGUAACAAUAACGGUCCUAAGGUAGCGAAAUUCCUUGUCGGGUAAGUUCCGACCCGCACGAAAGGCGUAAUGAUUUGGAUACUGUCUCGGAGAGGGACUCGGUGAAAUAGACUUGUCUGUGAAGAUGCGGACUACCUGCACCUGGACAGAAAGACCCUAUGAAGCUUUACUGUAACUUGAAAUUGAAAUUGGACUUUAUUCGCGCAGUAUAGGUGGGAGGCGUUGAAAAUAAUCUUGCGGGACUAUUGGAGCCAUCAGUGAGAUACCACUCUUAUAAUGUUAGAUUUCUAACUUUGAAUCAUUAUCUGGUCAAAGAACAGUUUCAGGCGGGCAGUUUGACUGGGGCGGUCGCCUCCCAAACGGUAACGGAGGCGUACAAAGGUUUCCUCUGAACGGGUAGAAAUCGUAUCUAGAGUAUAAAGGCAAAAGGAAGCUUGACUGUGAGACCUACAAGUCGAGCAGGGACGAAAGUCGGUCUUAGUGAUCUGACGGUACUGAGUGGAAAGGCCGUCACUCAACGGAUAAAAGUUACUCUAGGAUAACAGGCUGAUCUCCCCCAAGAGUUCACAUCGACGGGGAGGUUUGGCACCUCGAUGUCGGCUCAUCGCAUCCUGGGGCGGUAGUACGUCCCAAGGGUUGGGCUGUUCGCCCAUGAAAGCGGUACGCGAGCUGGGUUCAGAACGUCGUGAGACAGUUCGGUCCAUAUCCGGUGUAGGCGUUAGAAUAUUGAGAGGAGCCUUCUUUAGUACGAGAGGACCGAGAAGGACAUACCUCUGGUGUACCAGUUAUCGUGCCAACGGUAAACGCUGGGUAGCUAUGUAUGGAGUGGAUAACCGCUGAAAGCAUCUAAGUGGGAAGCCCACCUCAAGAUGAGUAU